RNAcentral lists this ribosomal RNA (391 nucleotides) under Rhizosolenia sp. Its description in RNAcentral is "partial small subunit ribosomal RNA". It matches the Rfam family "Eukaryotic small subunit ribosomal RNA", at positions 582 to 975 of the family's 1831-position model. Lineage: Eukaryota; Bacillariophyta; Coscinodiscophyceae; Rhizosoleniales; Rhizosoleniaceae. The record is from RNAcentral.
AUUCCAGCUCCAAUAGUGUAUAUUAAAGUUGUUGCAGUUAAAAAGCUCGUAGUUGGAUUUCUGGCGGGAGCGAUCGGUCCUUCACUCAGUGUUGGAACCUGAUUGUCUCCUGCCAUCCAUGGAGAAAACUUAUCUGGCAUUAAGUUGUCGGGUAGGCAAUCUCCAUCUUUUACUGUGAAAAAAUUAGAGUGUUCAAAGCAGGCUUAUGCCGUUGAAUAUAUUAGCAUGGAAUAAUAAGAUAGGACUAUGGUACUAUUUUGUUGGUUUGUGCACCAUGGUAAUGAUUAAUAGGGACAGUUGGGGGCAUUAGUAUUUAAUUGUCAGAGGUGAAAUUCUCGGAUUUAUGAAAGACUAACUACUGCGAAAGCAUUUGCCAAGGAUGUUUUCAUUG